RNAcentral lists this ribosomal RNA (465 nucleotides) under uncultured bacterium. Its description in RNAcentral is "partial 16S ribosomal RNA". It matches the Rfam family "Bacterial small subunit ribosomal RNA", at positions 28 to 507 of the family's 1533-position model. The record is from RNAcentral.
GACGAACGCUGGCGGCGUGCUUAACACAUGCAAGUCGAACGCUGAACCCGCUUCGGUGGGGGAUGAGUGGCGAACGGGUGAGUAACACGUGGGCAACCUGCCCCCGGCUCUGGGAUAACUCCAAGAAAUUGGGGCUAAUACCGGAUGUGACCGCUGGCCGCCUGGUCUGGUGGUGGAAAGGGUUUCCGGCUGGGGAUGGGCCCGCGGCCUAUCAGCUUGUUGGUGGGGUAGUGGCCUACCAAGGCGACGACGGGUAGCCGGCCUGAGAGGGUGACCGGCCACACUGGGACUGAGACACGGCCCAGACUCCUACGGGAGGCAGCAGUGGGGAAUAUUGCGCAAUGGGCGGAAGCCUGACGCAGCGACGCCGCGUGGGGGAUGACGGCCUUCGGGUUGUAAACCUCUUUCAGCAGGGACGAAGCGCAAGUGACGGUACCUGCAGAAGAAGCACCGGCCAACUACGUG